Molecule: long non-coding RNA, 597 nt
Organism: Homalodisca vitripennis (glassy-winged sharpshooter)
Lineage: Eukaryota; Metazoa; Arthropoda; Insecta; Hemiptera; Cicadellidae
Exons: 3
Source: RefSeq, a predicted model, not a curated record
GGGUAGGGGAAAUGGAAUAAAUCUUUAUAAAUUACAUAACCUUAUUCAAAUUUAAAUAUUUAUUACUGUAUUAAAAACCACUUGAAUGGCUGCUAUAUGAGUAUUUUUUUUAAAUUUUUAUGGCUUCUAGUAAGGGAGGAGUUCUAACCCCAUUAUCCUUAAUUACACUAUCAUUCUAAAGUCAUGCAGAUAGUUAUUUCCUUCUUAAGAAUCAUGCAGGAUUGUAUCUAGUGCAUAAAUGGUAAUGGUAGCUGCAAUUAUUACAAUUUUUUUACUUCUUUCUUACUUACUAUAAAAUAAAACUCAACUUAUUUACAAAAUGCUUAGUUUCCUGUUGAAUUAUGGUGUGGAUCUACUUUAUGACGGAAGUUACCCUGGUGGCUAGAUAUUCAAAAUGUGAGCAGCUACACGCCCACGUACGAGCGUUUGCCCGCAGAUUGUCCUCAUGACCCUAUAGAUAUUGACGCAGCAUGUGCUGGCAUGAGCAAACAUGUUUGCAGUAUAGAGGAGCCCGAGACAACGACCACCCACGUACCGACCACGCCAGAGGUGUUUGUUGAUGCUCUAUCCGGCGAAGCGGAAACUCAACUGGAGACU